This 173-nucleotide ribosomal RNA is filed under the name uncultured bacterium. RNAcentral describes it as "partial 16S ribosomal RNA". It matches the Rfam family "Bacterial small subunit ribosomal RNA", at positions 335 to 524 of the family's 1533-position model. The record is from RNAcentral.
ACUCCUACGGGAGGCAGCAGUGAGGAAUAUUGCCCAAUGGACGCAAGUCUGAGGCAGCAACGCCGCGUGGGCGAUGAAGGCCUUCGGGUUGUAAAGCCCUUUUCUGGGGGAAGAGGAAGGACGGUACCUCAGGAAUAAGUCACGGCUAACUACGUGCCAGCAGCCGCGGUAAU